GCGCCCAUAGCUCAGUCCGGAUAGAGCGUCUGACUACGGAUCAGAAGGCCAGGGGUUCAAAUCCUCUUGGGCGCGCCA
This 78-nucleotide transfer RNA is filed under the name Candidatus Dormiibacterota bacterium. RNAcentral's name for it is "tRNA-Arg". It matches the Rfam family "tRNA". From Rfam's summary of the family: Transfer RNA (tRNA) molecules are approximately 80 nucleotides in length. Their secondary structure includes four short double-helical elements and three loops (D, anti-codon, and T loops). Further hydrogen bonds mediate the characteristic L-shaped molecular structure. tRNAs have two regions of fundamental functional importance: the anti-codon, which is responsible for specific mRNA codon recognition, and the 3' end, to which the tRNAs corresponding amino acid is attached (by aminoacyl-tRNA synthetases). tRNAs cope with the degeneracy of the genetic code in two manners: having more than one tRNA (with a specific anti-codon) for a particular amino acid; and 'wobble' base-pairing, i.e. permitting non-standard base-pairing at the 3rd anti-codon position. Lineage: Bacteria; Bacillati; Candidatus Dormiibacterota. RNAcentral also lists the same sequence under 4 other names. The record is from RNAcentral.